UGCGUAGGCGGGUUUUUAAGUCAGGGGUGAAAUCCUGGAGCUCAACUCCAGAACUGCCUUUGAUACUGAAGAUCUUGAGUCCGGGAGAGGUGAGUGGAACUGCGAGUGUAGAGGUGAAAUUCGUAGAUAUUCGCAAGAACACCAGUGGCGAAGGCGGCUCACUGGCCCGGUACUGACGCUGAGGCACGAAAGCGUGGGGAGCAAACA
RNAcentral lists this ribosomal RNA (207 nucleotides) under uncultured bacterium. RNAcentral's name for it is "partial 16S ribosomal RNA". It matches the Rfam family "Bacterial small subunit ribosomal RNA", at positions 568 to 774 of the family's 1533-position model. The record is from RNAcentral.